This is a non-coding RNA of Pelobates cultripes (western spadefoot toad), 241 nucleotides long. Lineage: Eukaryota; Metazoa; Chordata; Amphibia; Anura; Pelobatidae. The record is from the annotation of a GenBank genome assembly.
CCUGUGAUCCCUUUUCUUCUCCGUGGCAUGCUGGGAGGCAGUGAGGUCAGAUCACUUCCUCCUCAGUGCCGCUGGGGAGGAGGCACACACCACACGGAGGAGGAUGCAAGCAUUGUGGGGGAGAGAGACUGAGAAAGCUGAUGGCAGACUCCCAUCAGCCUGGGCCAGCAAGCUCUCACUGGACCCCAGGGAAGCCACCUUUCUGUACCCAAAAGGUAAGGAGACAGGAGGGUGGCUAAAU